AGCCAAUCCCUAAAUUCCCUCGGUGCUUCCUCCUCUGUCUCAGCCCCUUACCGCCCUCGGCGGCCAAUGGACGUACCUUUUUUGAGUCCUCCCGCUCCGCUCCAUAGUUCCACUCUCCCUGGACGGGGGAGAAGGGGCGGGUCUAUUAUGUCAGUGUAGGUGGGAAGGCGAACUUGCCAGAGUAGAGAGCAAAACCAGGAAUAGGAGAUAGAAGCUUCUGGAUUGAUUUAAGGGGAAACUUUCCACAAAUGAAUCACCAUCACACAUUACUACAGCUGUUUUAAGAUGAGGAAACUGAGGUUGAGAAAAAGCCAGGACCAGCACUGACCCACACUCCGAAGCUAGCGUUCUCUCCAUUAAUCUCAGCCAUGGAACAAAUGGAGAAGAAUCCCCUUAAUUGGGCCAAGCAUGUCCUGGAGGAGAAGCGAUUGCCUCCAAAGCGUGUGAAGCUGCUGAAGAUUUGCGCAUGCCUGGUUGGCUGCUGGGGCUGGAGGGCAAGCUCCCCAGGAGAAGGGGGCUCCAGCAGAAAUCGAAAUAGACUUCUUGGAACCGAGGGAGCAGAGCCCAAAGAGCAAUGGAGAGGCACACAAAGGCAGAAGAGGAAUGACAAAGGAAUUUUGUAAUUCUUCAGUCACAAGUCAAAUCCACAAACAUUUAUUAAGAGCCAGCCAGGCUGGGGGGGGGGGGGGGAUACAAAUGCAAGAAAAAAGAAAAUCUCUUGGCCUCAAGGAACUCACUUUCAAUUGUAGGAAAAUCUCCUUAAACAGAGCUGGAGGGGGAAGGAGAAUGGAGAUUCUGAGCACUUUGCCAUGGCCAAAAGGGGCCCCGGUGCCCGAGGUCCCCAAGGGUAUCUGAUCUGUCCCGGAUAAAAAAGUUAUUUCAAAUCUCACAACAAGCAAGCAGAGGGGGAAAUGGAUUUUUUUUUUUUUUUUUGCUAAGACUACUUGAGUCCCUUCGUGUAAUUCCCAACCUUAGCUAGUUUAUACCCUGCCUCCUGAAAGUGCUUUGAAGUUAAAUGGCCCAUUACUGAGAAUUGAGUUUUGUUUGGGGCCUAAUGGUCCUCCAAACCCCAGCUUUUCUUUCUACUUGGGUGGAGAUGAGGCAGGAGUGGAAAGGGCUCAUUUUUAUAGCUCCUGUUCACUAAAGAAGUGACUCAUGAUUCCUUUUGUGUGCUAAGUCCUUCAGAGAAGGGAACCCACAAAAUCUGGAGGGAGCCCCUUCCCUUACUGGGGGGGGGCUUAUUCUUGUACUGAGCCUAAACCUCCCUCUCUCAAGCUUCCACUCAUUCGUGCAAGUUUUGGCCUCUGGGGCCAAGCAGAACCAGCCUAAUGUCCAUUCAGUGUACAACAGCCCUUCUAACCCUCAGAAACUACCAUCAUGGGCUCCCUAGUGUCCCCAGACCCCAGGCAUCUCCAGUUCUUCCAACCAGUCCUCUCAUAUAUGCUCUCAAGAGCCUCAGAAUCCUGGCCCCAGGCCUCUGGAAGCCAUCAGGUUCAUGGAUGUCCUUUGUGAAGUGAGGCACUCCCACAGUAUUUCAGAUGUUCUCCAUUUAGAUCAGAAGACGGCUGAACUAAAAAGAGCUAACUCUGCAACCCAAGCUUGACCAAUUGUGUCCAUUGUGAGGGCCUGGCUCUUUUGGACUUAAUUGAAGUGGAUAUGCAUGUAUCAUGGGAAAGAGCCUCAUCACCCCAUCUCCUCACAGAUCCUUUGCUGUGUUUCCAAGUGGAGUCCCUGAUCUAUAGAUAUUUAUACUUUUAAUAUAUAUUAUAUUUAUGAUUUUAAAAGGGUCCAGUGAACAACCAGGAGUAUAAAUUGGAUGAAAGUGAUUUUCUAACUGAAAGUCAGAUAGAUGACAGGGAUUAGGAAUCCCAAACUCCACAAAAGAAAACCCAACUCAAAAGACAGGCUUUAAAAUGCCUACUGGCUUCCUAGCUAGCUGGUCAAGUGGAGUGACAAAAGGAAGUUCUCUCUGCAAAGAGCCAAAGAUAGUCCCUGAGGUUAUUACAGUAAAGAGAAGGCAAAGGUCUCUCCUGGAGGCCACAGAAGAGCCAAAGAGCAGAAAGGUAGCCAGAGAACAGGGGAGAGGAGGAGAAAGCACUUCACCCAGUACAUCAUCCAGGCAUCUGGGCAGAGGACACCCAGCUGCCAAGUUCCGUUGAGUCUAUGUUGGUAACAUCUCCGGUGCUCGCUCCUUUCCUCCUUGGAUGCUGCCACCUCCCUGGUGUGGGUCCUUGUCUCCUCAGACCUGGACUCUUGCCUACAGGGGGCUCUGCCUGCCUCAAGACCCUCCCCACACCAGUCCAGCCUCCAUUCCCCAGGCUUCUUGAAGCCCAAGUCUGACCAUGUCCUAUUCAGAAAACUCCAGUGACUCCUCUUACCACCAGGAUCAAGUCUAGAACAGUUGGCUUGGUUUUUAAAGUCUUUCCUAAUUGGGUCCCUUCAUAGCUUUCCCACCUCGUACCUUUCUUCCUUUUUGAUUCUGUGAUCCAAGGAUCCAUCUGGGGACAUGGUCAAGGAAUAGGAGUUUUCUCUGGCUGUCCACCAUGUCUGGAAUCUGAUUUCGCCCCAUCUCUACCUCCCGGCUUCCUUGAAAUCUUAGCCAAAAAUGUCCUCUUUGCAAGAAGCCCUUCCUGACCUCCUCCUGUCCCAGAUUACCUUCAGUUUCUCUCGUCUCCCCCAUCAGGCUUCUCUUUUGCUUUUUUUUGUAUCCCGGGUGCCUGGCACAGAGAAGGAGCUUAAUAAAUGUUUGUUGGUUUGA
Molecule: long non-coding RNA, 2758 nt
Organism: Monodelphis domestica (gray short-tailed opossum)
Lineage: Eukaryota; Metazoa; Chordata; Mammalia; Didelphimorphia; Didelphidae
Source: RefSeq, a predicted model, not a curated record